CAUUCUUCUGCGGUCAUCCAUUCCGUAGUACAAGACACUUCUAGAGGGUGAUUGAUCACGACCAGCUCUACCUGACUCUUGAUAAAAGGCUUCCAUUGACUUGGGAAUAUUGUAGUGGCAAACAAUCCUAACAUCCUUCCGGUCUAUGCCCUAGAUAUAUUGUGUUCCUCAUACAUUAGCUCCAAAUGUACAUAAAUCAUAUCAUACAAUAGAGAGACUGAAAAUAAUCAAAAUCAUACUAAAAUAAUAGCAAUAGUUACAUACCAUCCUGAAGCAACACCAUAAUCACAUAAACCGCACAUACUCCAGAGUUGCUCCAAACAAAAAUGCAGCAACAAAAUACCCAGUUGAUAAGAUAAUAACAAAUUAAUCAUCAGUUUUUUUGUGAAAAAUAAACCUACAAAUAGAAGCAUAUGCAAUGGUAUUGAAGCUACUUUCACAAAAAGCCUAAUGGUUGCAGUUGAAGAAUGCAAUAGAGGGAAGGAAGACUAUUUGUGACGCAUUUGAAGUAUGGCCAUACCCAAAAGCAACUGUGGCCACAACAACCUGCGUCUUCGAAGUAAUCCAAUCAUCCAAAACAGAACUCCGCAACUUAUUGUUCAAGCCCGC
Molecule: long non-coding RNA, 609 nt
Filed under: Panax ginseng (ginseng)
Lineage: Eukaryota; Viridiplantae; Streptophyta; Magnoliopsida; Apiales; Araliaceae
Description: long non-coding RNA (PGIN_LNC017471)
Source: RNAcentral